GAUGAACGCUGGCGGCAUGCUUUACACAUGCAAGUCGGACGGGAAGUGGUGUUUCCAGUGGCGGGCGGGUGAGUAACGCGUAAGAACCUGCCCUUGGGAGGGGAACAACAGCUGGAAACGGCUGCUAAUACCCCGUAGGCUGAGGAGCGAAAGGAGGAAUCCGCCCAAGGAGGGGCUCGCGUCUGAUUAGCUAGUUGGUGAGGUAAUAGCUUACCAAGGCCGUGAUCAGUAGCUGGUCCGAGAGGAUGAUCAGCCACACUGGGACUGAGACAAGGCCCAGACUCCUACGGGAGGCAGCAGUGGGGAAUGUUCCGCAAUGGGCGAAAGCCUGACGGAGCAAUGCCGCGUGGAGGUAAAAGGCCUACGGGUCAUGAACUUCUUUUCCUGGAGAAGAAACAAUGACGGUAUCUGGGGAAUAAGCAUCGGCUAACUCUGUG
This 437-nucleotide ribosomal RNA is filed under the name uncultured bacterium. RNAcentral describes it as "partial 16S ribosomal RNA". It matches the Rfam family "Bacterial small subunit ribosomal RNA", at positions 28 to 507 of the family's 1533-position model. The record is from RNAcentral.